This 166-nucleotide ribosomal RNA is filed under the name Mesembryanthemum crystallinum (common iceplant). Its description in RNAcentral is "5.8S ribosomal RNA". It matches the Rfam family "5.8S ribosomal RNA". Rfam says of the family: 5.8S ribosomal RNA (5.8S rRNA) is a component of the large subunit of the eukaryotic ribosome. It is transcribed by RNA polymerase I as part of the 45S precursor that also contains 18S and 28S rRNA. Functionally, it is thought that 5.8S rRNA may be involved in ribosome translocation. Lineage: Eukaryota; Viridiplantae; Streptophyta; Magnoliopsida; Caryophyllales; Aizoaceae. The record is from RNAcentral. RNAcentral also lists the same sequence under 3 other names.
UUAAAACGACUCUCGGCAACGGAUAUCUCGGCUCUCGCAUCGAUGAAGAACGUAGCGAAAUGCGAUACUUGGUGUGAAUUGCAGAAUCCCGUGAACCAUCGAGUCUUUGAACGCAAGUUGCGCCCGAAGCCUUCGGGCCGAGGGCACGUCUGCCUGGGCGUCACGC